CCAGACUCCUACGGGAGGCAGCAGUGGGGAAUAUUGGGCAAUGGGCGGAAGCCUGACCCAGCAACGCCGCGUGAAGGAAGAAGGCUUUCGGGUUGUAAACUUCUUUUCUCGGGGACGAACAGAUGACGGUACCUGGGGAAUAAGCCACGGCUAACUACGUGCCAGCAGCCGCGGUAAUACGUAGGUGGCAAGCGUUAUCCGGAUUUACGGGGUUUAAAGGGUGCGCAGGCGGAGGCACAAGUCAGCGGUAAAUGCGGGGGGCUCACCCCCGCUCCGCCGUUGAAACUGUGUCCCUUGAGUGCGCGAAGGGUAGGCGGAAUGCGUGGUGUAGCGGUGAAAUGCAUAGAUAUCACGCAGAACUCCGAUCGCGAAGGCAGCCUACCGGCGCGCUACUGACGCUCAUGCACGAAAGCGUGGGUAUCGAACAGGAUUAGAUACCCUCGUA
Molecule: ribosomal RNA, 445 nt
Filed under: uncultured bacterium
Lineage: Bacteria
Description: bacterial SSU rRNA
Rfam family: Bacterial small subunit ribosomal RNA
Source: RNAcentral